GACGAACGCUGGCGGCGUGCUUAACACAUGCAAGUCGAACGGAAAGGCCCUGCUUUUGUGGGGUGCUCGAGUGGCGAACGGGUGAGUAACACGUGAGUAACCUGCCCUUGACUUUGGGAUAACUUCAGGACACUGGGGCUAAUACCGGAUAGGAGCUCCUGCUGCAUGGUGGGGGUUGGAAAGUUUCGGCGGUUGGGGAUGGACUCGCGGCUUAUCAGCUUGUUGGUGGGGUAGUGGCUUACCAAGGCUUUGACGGGUAGCCGGCCUGAGAGGGUGACCGGCCACAUUGGGACUGAGAUACGGCCCAGACUCCUACGGGAGGCAGCAGUGGGGAAUAUUGCACAAGGGUCGGAAGCCUGAUGCAGCAACGCCGCGUGCGGGAUGACGGCCUUCGGGUGGUAAACCGCUUUCGCCUGGGACGAAGCGUGAGUGACGGUAAUGGGUAAAGAAGCACCGGCUAACUACGUG
RNAcentral lists this ribosomal RNA (468 nucleotides) under uncultured bacterium. RNAcentral's name for it is "partial 16S ribosomal RNA". It matches the Rfam family "Bacterial small subunit ribosomal RNA", at positions 28 to 507 of the family's 1533-position model. The record is from RNAcentral.